Molecule: ribosomal RNA, 292 nt
Filed under: uncultured bacterium
Lineage: Bacteria
Description: partial 16S ribosomal RNA
Source: RNAcentral
GGACUACCGGGGUUUCUAAUCCUGUUUGCUCCCCAUGCUGUCGCGCAUCAGUGUCAGGUACGGCCCAGCGUGUCGCCUUCGCCACUGGUGUUCCUCCGGAUCUCUACGCAUUUCACCACUACACCCGGAAUUCCACACGCCUCUACCGUCCUCUAGUUGUGCAGUAUCCGACGACCUUUCCCGGUUAAGCCGAAAAAUUUCACGCCAGACUUACUCAACCACCUACACGCCCUUUACGCCCAGUAACUCCGGAUAACGUUUGUCUCCUACGUUUUACCGCGGCUGCUGGCAC